RNAcentral lists this ribosomal RNA (492 nucleotides) under uncultured bacterium. RNAcentral's name for it is "partial 16S ribosomal RNA". It matches the Rfam family "Bacterial small subunit ribosomal RNA", at positions 29 to 507 of the family's 1533-position model. The record is from RNAcentral.
AGUGAACGCUGGCGGCAGGCCUAACACAUGCCAGUCGAACGGCAGCACCCUAAGCGCUUGCUCUUCCGGGUGGCGAGUGACGGGCGGGUAACGCGUACAUCGCCAUCUACUUUUUCGUGGGGGAUAACGUAGAGCAACUUACGCUACUACCUCAUUCUUCCUACCGCUUAAAUCAAGGGGUCUUCGGACCUUGCGCUAUUGAAGGAGGCGAUGUCGGAUUAGCUAGUUGGCGGGGUAAAGGCCCACCAAGGCGACGAUCCGUAGCUGGUCUGAGAGGGUGAUCGGCUACACUGGGACUGAGACACGGCCCAGACUCCUACGGGAGGCAGCAGUAGGGAAUAUUGGACAAUGGGCGCAAGCCUGAUAGAGCAAUGCCGCGUGGGUGAAGAAGGCCUUCGGGUCGUAAAGCCCUUUUGUUAGGAAAGAAAAGCAGCAGGUGAAUACGUUGGUGUUUUGACGGUACCUAAAGAGAAAGCACCGGCUAACUUCGUG